GGACGGUUGGCAGAGUGGUAAUGCAGCCGAUUGAUACUCGGUAGGACCUUAGGGUUCCGUGGGUUCGAAUCCCACACCGUAUG
RNAcentral lists this transfer RNA (83 nucleotides) under Limimaricola sp. RNAcentral's name for it is "tRNA-Ile". It matches the Rfam family "tRNA". From Rfam's summary of the family: Transfer RNA (tRNA) molecules are approximately 80 nucleotides in length. Their secondary structure includes four short double-helical elements and three loops (D, anti-codon, and T loops). The record is from RNAcentral. Lineage: Bacteria; Pseudomonadati; Pseudomonadota; Alphaproteobacteria; Rhodobacterales; Paracoccaceae.